This 254-nucleotide ribosomal RNA is filed under the name uncultured bacterium. Its description in RNAcentral is "partial 16S ribosomal RNA". It matches the Rfam family "Bacterial small subunit ribosomal RNA", at positions 524 to 777 of the family's 1533-position model. The record is from RNAcentral.
UACGAAGGGGGCUAGCGUUGUUCGGAUUUACUGGGCGUAAAGCGCACGUAGGCGGAUCUUUAAGUCAGAGGUGAAAUCCCAAGGCUCAACCUUGGAACUGCCUUUGAUACUGGGGAUCUUGAGUCCGGGAGAGGUGAGUGGAACUGCGAGUGUAGAGGUGAAAUUCGUAGAUAUUCGCAAGAACACCAGUGGCGAAGGCGGCUCACUGGCCCGGAACUGACGCUGAGGUGCGAAAGCGUGGGGAGCAAACAGGG